GACGAACGCUGGCGGCGUGCUUAAUACAUGCAAGUCGAACGAGGCUGAUCCAGUAGCAAUACUGGUGACUGUCAAGUGGCGAACGGGUGAGUAACACGUGAGCAACCUGCCCCGAAGACCGGGACAACAGUGGGAAACCGCUGCUAAUACCGGAUACCCCCACUGGAUCACAUGGUCUGGUGAGGAAAUGGAUUCCGCUUCGGGAGGGGCUCGCGGCCUAUCAGCUUGUUGGUGGGGUAACGGCCUACCAAGGCUUCGACGGGUAGCUGGUCUGAGA
Molecule: ribosomal RNA, 277 nt
Filed under: uncultured bacterium
Lineage: Bacteria
Description: partial 16S ribosomal RNA
Rfam family: Bacterial small subunit ribosomal RNA
Source: RNAcentral